This 333-nucleotide small RNA is filed under the name Pongo abelii (Sumatran orangutan). RNAcentral describes it as "retained intron". Lineage: Eukaryota; Metazoa; Chordata; Mammalia; Primates; Hominidae. The record is from RNAcentral.
GCAGGCCUCUUUGUCAGCUGGAGUUGCAAGGGCUGACGCGCCACUACUUUGUAGCGGGUUUCGGGCGGGCCACGCGUGCGACUACAGGAACCCAACCCCAGCCGACCUUGAGCUCCAGGAGUUCGUCUCUUACGUCUGCGGAAGUGCAGCUGCCUCAGUUCUUAGCGCAGGUAUGUUCCUAGCCUUGAGCGGGGGGGGAAUGACUCAGCCUGGAGCACGUGGCCAGUGGGACCGGAGGGUUCCCCGGCGUCUGUUUGUCGCCAAGGUCCGAAUCCGGCUCCCCUUAACUGGAAGGAAACAUCCAUGUAGGGGGCUCACCAAACAAAACAGCUG